UCCUACAAUGUAUAACACUCUACACCAUGUGGCAUUCCGAGAUGCACCUGCGGUUAUAUCGGUGAAGGUAUUCUCCAGAGACUGAAUUGAAGACCCACCCUGAAUGCUGGCAGUACCAUGCCAUGGACUUGGGUCCUAGACCGAAUAUAAAGGAUAAAGGACCAAGGAAGCUGAGCACCCACACUGAUCUGAGUCAAUGUUGAUCUGCUGACUCAGCAUGUCCCAGUGGGCAAGAAUGAGCACUGUGAGCAUCUGGAACCGGCCUGUGUAGCCUGGAAUGGUGGUCAGGGAAUUCAGUGUGACAAGAGGAUUCCACACCCUCAAACUGAUUACCCGCUUUGCAUCAGGACUCUCAGAACAAAAUUCUGCCCAAAGAAACAAUUUGAGAUCUAUGCUGCGAUGACUGUUCUUGGUUAUCAUUGACUACAUCUGCAAUGAACUAAAACCCAUGUGGCUGGGCACACCUGUGAGGGAUUGUUUUCUUAAUACAAUCAUUUGAAGUAGGAAGACCCAUUUCAGUUUGGAUCUUCUGAGGCUGGAGGAUACACUUGUAAUCCAGAACUUUUAAGGUCCGGGAGAAUCUCCUUUAUUGAAACACACUUUCUGGGGAUAGCCUUUAUAAAGGAUAUGGAAGGAGGAAGCUUGCUCUUGCUCUCUUUGGCAAGUCUAUUCUUUCACUGGCUUUAGAGCCUACUUUUUCAGGAUUGCAGCAUAUACUGAAUACCAUCCGAGACUCCUGCCUUAUGAACUGAGCAAGUACUGGAUUCUAGGACCUUCCAUUCAUAGGCAGUCAUGUUGGAAUAGCUGGACCACAGCCUAUAAGCCAAUCUAAUAA
Mus musculus (house mouse) is the source of this 835-nucleotide long non-coding RNA. RefSeq annotates it as predicted gene, 41812. The transcript is spliced from 3 exons. NCBI's taxonomy places the organism in Eukaryota, Metazoa, Chordata, Mammalia, Rodentia, Muridae. The record is from RefSeq and is a predicted model, not a curated record.